This is a long non-coding RNA of Austrofundulus limnaeus, 118 nucleotides long. RefSeq lists it as uncharacterized. Lineage: Eukaryota; Metazoa; Chordata; Actinopteri; Cyprinodontiformes; Rivulidae. The record is from RefSeq and is a predicted model, not a curated record. The transcript has 3 exons.
GUCCUGAGCAGUCCAGUCCUUGUUCGCUCAUAUCAGUCCACCUGCAAUGUGGCCUUGGUCCGUCGAUCUCCUAGUGGUCUCUGCGACAACGCCAACUGUUAUGCAGGAUUUAUUCAUU